Molecule: ribosomal RNA, 253 nt
Filed under: uncultured bacterium
Lineage: Bacteria
Description: partial 16S ribosomal RNA
Rfam family: Bacterial small subunit ribosomal RNA
Source: RNAcentral
UACGUAGGGUGCGAGCGUUGUCCGGAAUUAUUGGGCGUAAAGGGCUCGUAGGCGGUUUGUCGCGUCGGGAGUGAAAAUCCAGGGCUUAACUCUGGACUGGCUUUCGAUACGGGCAGACUAGAGGUAUGCAGGGGAGAACGGAAUUCCUGGUGUAGCGGUGAAAUGCGCAGAUAUCAGGAGGAACACCGGUGGCGAAGGCGGGUCUCUGGGCCGAUACUGACGCUGAGGAGCGAAAGCGUGGGGAGCAAACAGG